Molecule: non-coding RNA, 470 nt
Organism: Nicotiana tabacum (common tobacco)
Lineage: Eukaryota; Viridiplantae; Streptophyta; Magnoliopsida; Solanales; Solanaceae
Source: RefSeq, a predicted model, not a curated record
GAAAGAAAGAAAACAAAGUUUCUGUUUUCUCAAGCUUGCUCACCGCAAGUCUGCAACUGCUUGGGUUAUCUUGAGAGUUUGAUUUCACGAGAAUUUUGUAAUCAAAAGUGGCAGAUUGACUCUCAUUCAGAGCUAUAAUAGACAGGCAGGUUCGUAGACUUCGAACCAAAGACGUUGCUUCAGUGAAAGUAAUAUGGAGAAACCACUCAGUUGAGGAAGCUACGUGGGAUCCCGAGGAAGCCAUGAAGAAAAGAUAUCCUUAUUUGUUCGAGAUUUCAGUUAGAGAAAUUGGUGACUUGGCAUUGCCUGGAAGAUACGUGGAGGCAAAGUUGAGCUUGUAUUUGAGGUAUUGAGGAUGCAGGUAACGAGGCAUGUGGCUAAAGGAGAUAUUCUAGAUUCAGUUUACAGACUCCGUUGAUUCAUCCCAGCGGUAGCGGACCCUUUUCGGACUAUUAUUUAUAACUUUUUUU